CUCCUUUGUGAGUUAUUCAGCUCCUCAGUCCUCUUUAUUUCUUUCUCUUUCGGCCAUUGUUUUUUGUAACCAUUCUUAUCAUAUCAAAAGAAGCGCAUUCCUCCCACCUCCAUACGCGCUUUCAUGCGUCAUUUUUGUGCGCACAUCUGCCUAAGUGCAUCUUUUUGUGUCCACAUUCUUUCAGUUACUGGAGCUGUUCACCCAGUGGGACUGGACGACCUACCUGGCUGACUACGGAAAACCAACCUGCAAAUACCUGAGAGUCAGCCCGCACACGGCCCUAGCCCUGCUGGAGAAGAUGAGGGAGACGAGCAGAAAAAACAACGUCUUUGCCCAGUUUAGGAAGACGGACCGAGACAGACAGAAACUCAUCGACACCAUCAUCAAACAGCUACGCAACCUCAUCGCACAGCACCACGCCUAGAGCGGGCCGCCUCAUUGGCCAGCAGGUCUGAAGCCACCAUCUUUAAUCGGCUGAUCUCAACCAUUGCAGCCCGAUGAAAAGCAGACUCCCGUUGAUCUGUUUCAGCCCUGCAACCAUUGGCUGAUCCAUGCACUUUAACUUCGCUGGACUCCAGUGAACUGCCGCCAGUUCCUAUUGGUCAUCUUCAACGCCCAACACCAACCGCUGUAAACCUGCAACAAGCUCAAUGGAUAACAAGGUCUAACUCUUCGAUUUCAUUGGUUAACCCAAGCCAUUGUUUUCUGGAUUACCAAGCAUAUCUAUCGAGGCUACAACGUGCGUUUUGACAGCUCGGUUUUCACUUCAACUUCAUCUAUGGGACUGAAACACUGGCAGCUUAUUGGGCCUCAACUACGCUCAUCCUGUUGGUUACUUCCUGCCCCGGAUCUAAACCGAGUAGUCCGAUUAGCUGAAGACAAGACAAGAAAGAAGCUCUCUAUUAUCUUAUUGGUCUCUUUGUACGAUUUGUUGACCAAAAGGAAAACAUUUCACCAACCUCAUCUUACCGUUUAGUUCCCAAGAUUUGUGACCUGUUGUGGAGAACCAGAAAGUAGAGCAAAUAAUAGUAGAACAACAAUGAACUAUGUGGUACCAACUGAGAAAAUAGCAAAAAUUGACAAGCAGUUCAGACUCUAAAAGCAAAAAUUCAUAUUAAAAUGACGUGUCAGGGAAAAAAACUAGGAAUACCAGUGAGGAAAAGUAGUUUCUCUGAUUCAGUCACUGAAUGCUGUAGGCACAUUUGUAGGGUGGGAACAUGUUAAUUUGGGUUUUGAGGAACACUAGAUUCCUAUGGGACUUGUCUUUGAGAAUCUAUGACGUUUAUUAUUUUUUGUAGGACCUCCAGUUUGGUAGAUUUUAUUCUUUGCACCACAGUCUUCCCAUUUCCCUUCCCUAAAAUCUAAGUGGCUGGUUAGGCAGUCUGCUCUCAUCCCCCUUUAUUUAGUUUCUCCUUGCCCCAGGCGAUUUUUAAUGUCUUUCACAUUGCUCUCCUUCACUGUGGCACAAUGACCGAAUGGAUUGAAUGUACAUCAGAGGGAAUGAUUUCAUAUUACAGCUUGAAAUACACUGUAAUUAACAUCAGGUCUGGGGGGGGGAGACAUUAGGGACGAAUGAACAAAAUGUUCCUCCAGUAUUGUCUAAUAAAGGGGGAUAUGCACGCAAAAUGGCAACCUUUUCCCCCUUAAUAUACAACCUGUGAACACUUGAACGCUCAGAUCUGAUAAACGUAUCCUCUCUUCUUGACGCCUGAAAGCACAGUGAGUGUUUGGGAUUUUAAACGGGGGAUGUUGUCUAAACAUGGCAACCCAUUUCUCCACUUUCAUGAUCCUGUUGCUCUAGCAUUUUCUACCCUUCAUGUAAAAAUAACUGGGUCUUAAGGAGGGGCACUAUGCCUCAAACUGGCAACUGCCAUAGAGUAUAUAGUUUUCUUUGCCUAGUUGCCUAGAAAGAGACUCAUUUGUAUAGAAAGCAGUGUACUGAUGCCAAGCACACACACUUUUAUGUCUUCCAUAAACACAUGUCAAGCAGUGUGUGUGUGUUUGUUUUGGCGACUUGCACACACAAAGGUUUGUUUAGAAGCACAGCACAUAAUGACAAUUUCACUAGAUUAUUUGUUGGCGCUAAUAAGGGUUUCUUUUCGCUCUUUGUUUUGCUUUUGAACUUGGGUGCAAUAAUAGCGUUGAAAACGACAGCAUUUUGUGUGUGUGUUAAUCAUGGCGCUUUAUAAAGGGAUGCAAACCUACAGUCCCCGUCAGAAGGGAAUUUAAGUCUUCCACUUCCUUUGAGCAGUUGCCAUGUUUGAUUUACUGAGCGACAUCAUGUGUGUUUGUGUUCACUCGUGCAUGCCUGCACUGGGAAAUUGUGCGCAUUUAUGUAUUUGUGUGUUUGUUAUUCAUCCAUCCUUUGCGAUGUAUCAUUUUGAGGUGUUAGUAAGGGAACAGGGCCGUCGUUAUUGAAUGUGCCUUUGCUGUAUUUGGUGUUUGUUUUCCUGCCAAUAAAGCAGCAACACUGGUGUUUGGACGCUGAACGUGAAUGAACUGUUGGAAGUCUGAAAAACAAAAGUCUUAACUCAAAGUCCAUUUACUAGCUUCAUCCAGAGUUUUCAAUGUCGCCUCCCACUCUCCUGGAGGUCAAUUUGUCACUUUACCUUUUCUGUGACACAAAUUAAAAUGCAUUUCGCUGUUGUUAGCUUUUUUUAAGUAGUAGUGUGUAGUAACGUGCAUUUUUAGACUGAAAUUAAUGACUGAGCGACAUAAUUUACAACCUGAAAUGUACUUUUUUUUUUUAUUAGACAUGUUUUCUUAUAAAAGUAAGGUCUGUAUCUCCUAAUUUAGAAGGAAACAAUCUCAUAAUUUAGAACUUUUUUCUUGUAACUAAUAAAUCAAAAUUUUGAGGAAAAUGUCUCAUGCAAAUGCAAUGCACAUUUGUUAAACAUUGAGACAACCAAAAAUGUCUCAAAUGUAAACCUAUACACAUCUGGGUUAUUUGAUCUAUUUAAAUGGUCCCAUUCAGUUAUUUUAGUUUCAGUUGCAUAGUUGUCUAUAAUCCUGCCUGUCUGAAUUGCCCAUUGCCUUAUUUCUGUGCUCGGGAACACAGUGCCAGUAAUAAGCAAAGUAACAGGACUUUUCCGUGUUCGAUCCACCUCUCUAACAUUGAUAGUCCUGCAUGUUUGUCUGUGUCCAGAGUCUUCACAUUGCGGGUGUUGCUGCUGCUACUUGUUUUGUAUUUUGAAAGCAGGAAUCUUUACUGAGACAGAAGCACUGUACACGCUAUUGUAUUAAACCACUAAUGAUUGAAAAUAAAGUAAAAUACUAAUACAGUUACGACAAAUAAAUGUAAAACUGUU
This is a long non-coding RNA of Etheostoma cragini (Arkansas darter), 3308 nucleotides long. RefSeq lists it as uncharacterized. The transcript is spliced from 3 exons. The record is from RefSeq and is a predicted model, not a curated record. Lineage: Eukaryota; Metazoa; Chordata; Actinopteri; Perciformes; Percidae.